CUAAGUCACCGUCCCCCAUCCCCCACGGUCCCCUGUGAGAACCAGUCAGUGUGUUGAGCAUCAGCUGAGGCUUCCAGAUUCCAUGGGGAAUGACCCCCAUUGUGUGUGCUGAGGACCAGGCAGCCUCUGGCUAACUUCUUGCUUCUCGGUGUCCUGGGAACCGGUGCUGUUUGCUCCUGUCUGGAGCCUCUGUGGCUGAGCAGAGCACAUGCUGCCCUGGCCAGUGUUUCCAUAGCUGCCUCCAGGCUCCAGGCCCCAGGCUCCAGGCUGCUGCAGACUGUGAAUGAGGCCUCUCCUCUGCCCUCUGUGCUCUGUGCCAUCUCCAUGACUAAGCUUCCUGCCGUGCUCCUUCAGAUGGCAGGCCUCUGGGGCAAAUGUGGAUCCUCCAGUCUCCCAACAAGUUCUUCCAUGAGGCCCCUGAUCCUAAAGUCAAAGAUUCCAGCUGAAUCCAUGUGUGUACAAGUGCAUGUGACCAAUACAACCGGAGCCCCCAACCAGCCCAGAGAUGACAGAGGUGGAAGAGCAGCAGUAUGGGAGCCGUGGUAAGGGCAGCUGCUUCCAAGGCUGCUACCUGACUCAGUUCCUCAUGACCAGAGGCUACGGUCCAACAGCUUGAAUCUCAAAUGUCCUCACAGGCUCGUGGGCUGAAAGACUUGUCCCCUCUGGUGGUGCUGUUUUAGGAGGGUCUGGAAACUAGGAGGUAGGACAAGCAGGGCCCUGUGCCUUAAAGGUUAUUCUCAUAUUCUCCCCUUCUCUUCUCUCUCUCUCUCUCUCUCUCUCUCUCUC
RNAcentral lists this long non-coding RNA (786 nucleotides) under Mus spicilegus (steppe mouse). Its description in RNAcentral is "lncRNA (ENSMSIG00000024269.1)". The record is from RNAcentral. Lineage: Eukaryota; Metazoa; Chordata; Mammalia; Rodentia; Muridae.